Non-coding RNA from Pelobates cultripes (western spadefoot toad), 2774 nucleotides. The record is from the annotation of a GenBank genome assembly. Lineage: Eukaryota; Metazoa; Chordata; Amphibia; Anura; Pelobatidae.
CUACACUGAAUAAUUGUGUCACCGCCUUAUAUAUUCUAUUUUUAUAACAAUUACAAAUCCAAUAAGGCUACUGCUCUCUUAAAGUUACAGUCCAGGCACAUAUACAUCUGUUCUGAAAUAAUCAGAUAAUUAGCCAUUGUUUAACAACUAGGAGAGCUCAAGCGAAAUAUACAGUGGUACAUUAAAUACAAGCAUGUGUCCCUUUAAGCAUGAGGAGAAAGAUGGCUCUUCUGUUUAUAAAAUAGGUUCGUACUAGGGUUACCAUAUCCACCUUCUUAUCCUAUAUAUCAAAUCAUCAUAUGCAGCACCUGAAACAUUCUGCCCAGCAGUAUCUAACAUUUAUAUGCUACAGGAGGGGAAUCCAUUAAUAAACCAAGCAAAUAAUUCAGGAUUGUUUGUUGAUUUAAAGGGACACUCCAGUCACCCAGACCACUUCUGCCCAUUGGAAUGGUCUGGGUGCCAACUCCCACUAUCCUUAACCCUGCAAGUGUAAUUAUUGCAGUUUUUAUAAACUGCAAUAAUUACCUUGGAGGGUUAACUCCUCCUCUAGUGGCUGUCUACUAGACAGCCACUAGAGGGCACUUCCUGCUUCAUAGCACAGGUUUUCUGUGCUAGAGCAUCGCUGGAUGUCCUAACGCUAUGUGAGGACCUCCAGCGUCGCUAAAAUCCACGUAGGAAAGCAUUGAAAGCAUUUUCAAUGCUUUCCUAUGGAGAGGUCUAAUGCACGUGCGCGGCAUUGCCGCGCAUGCGCACUAGGCCUCGCCUGCCAGUGGACGGGAUCUGUCUCCCCCGCCGGAUGAUGUGAGGACGGGGAGGAGUGUGGGCGGACCAAGAAGCAGCGGCGAGGGACAUCGUCACUGCCUCUGGUAAGUCACUGAAGGGGUUUUAACCCGUUCAGUAACCGGGGAUGGGGGGUGGGAGGGAGAGGGGACCUGCAGUACCAGGAAAACUGAUUGUUUUCCUGGCACUGGAGAGUCAAUUUAAGGGAUACAAUAAGCACCAAAACAACUUUAGCUUAAUGAAGCAGUUUUGGUGUAUAGUUAUGCCCCUGCAGUCUCACUGCUCAAUUCUCUGUCAUUUAGGAGUUAAAUCACUUUUGUUUGUGUUUACGAAGCUCUAGUCACACAUCCCAUGGAUGUGACUCACACAACCGGCAUGAAAAAUAUGGUUUGAUUUUCAAUCAGCCCAGUGUGUUUACUUUAGAAGUUUUCAUCUCCUACCAUGUUAAUUAAAUGUUAAUCUCACACAGAAUGUUCCUGCAGGCCCUAGCAUGCUAUUAACAAAGCAGGAGAUUUAAGCUGAUUUAAAGGAAGUUUAAAGAUUAGAUCUCUCUUUACAAUAAGUGUUUAGGAAGGCUGUGUAAGUCACAUACAGGGAGGCGUGGCUAGGACUGCAAAAAACAAAGUGUUUAACUGCAAAAUGGCAGAUAAUUGAGCAGUGAAACUGCAGGGGCAUGAUCUAUACACCACGACUGCUUGAUUAAGCUAAAGUUUUUUUUAUACUUGUAGUGCCCCGCUAAUGAAAUAAAUUAUUACAGCAUUUGAAUGCUAGAUACUACUAAGAAGCACUUUUUAUGUGCUGUCCAACAGAAAGUGAUUUGUGUCCAAGAUAAAAAUAGUGGAUCUGGCUAUCUAAAUCCCUACCACAUGAUACGCAUGCGCAUUAGGUCUCCCCCACCGGCGGGCGUGAUCGGUCUCCCCCGCCAGAUGACGUGGUGACGGGGAGGAGCGUGGGAGGGCCCAGAAGCAGCACCAAGGGACAUCGACGCUGCCUCAGGUAAGUCACUUCAGCAACCGGGGAUGGGAGGUGGGAGGGAGAGGGGACCUGCAGUGCCAGAAAAUGGAUUGUCUUCCUUUAAACUAAACUCAAGAGGCAGCAAUUGCCCAGAUCAACUGCCUUAUAAAGUCUUCUCAUUGAGCUGCAUUAGAAAGUCUGUGAUUGGACAGUCACAGAGAGUCUGGGCGGGGUUAGAAGGUAAGAACUUACAAAGGCUGUAGAUAAGAGAUCUGCAGCUUUUGCAAGCUGUUUUUAGAUAUAUCCUCAUUGAAAAAAAAUGCAUUAUUAAAUGCAUGCAAGUUUUCAUUGGGGACAUAUUUACAAAACAUUAUUUAAACAUUUUUUUUUACUUUAAGUGUAGAGUAGGGGUUAAUAUAUAGUGUGUUAGGGUAGUGUAGGGGCAAAAGGGAGGACUUUAUUCUAAGGGCAUAACUGUUCCAGUGCUACCUGAGAUGAGAGGUGGGAAGCAACUCUAUCAGCAGCCAUCUUUAAAGUGGCAGCAGGUUCUGGUAGAGCUUCAACGUCCACUAAUCUCAGGCAGAAUGAGUGACCAAUGCAUUAUUCAUCAUUCAUUAUGGAAAUAUGUUAGAUUUCAAUGACAUUGAAAGGCCCUCUUUGUGGCAGGGGAUUUCAGACACAGUGCCUGGUCACUUAGAUACCAGAAGCUAUUAAAAACAAUGGGCAUAUUACAUGUGCCACACAUUUGAACUAGGCCUUAUGAAGAACCAGUGGCCACAGGGAACACGUGAAGUAGGACACAGCUGCUCUCCUCAAGAAGACAGUUGAUUUCCUCCAAACUCAAGUCCUUUGCCCGUCUUCUGUUUAUCUCCAUGAUUUCAUCUCCCACUUGCAGGAUUCCCGGUGGAAAUGUCGAGGCAAAGGCUCUGCUCAUCUGUACCACGUAUAAUCCUGACAGGAGGUGAAGAAAACGUUAUAAGGUUAAGAUGGGAAAGAAGAUGUCACUGACAAGGGUGAAAGGUCGGCCACUGAGUUGGAAG